RNAcentral lists this ribosomal RNA (227 nucleotides) under uncultured bacterium. Its description in RNAcentral is "partial 16S ribosomal RNA". It matches the Rfam family "Bacterial small subunit ribosomal RNA", at positions 524 to 750 of the family's 1533-position model. The record is from RNAcentral.
AACGUAGGACACAAGCGUUAUCCGGAGUUACUGGGCGUAAAGGGCGUGUAGGCGGAGAUGUAAGUCUAUUCUGAAAGCUCCUGGCUAAACUGGGAGAGGCGAAUGGAGACUGCAUAUCUAGAGUGAGGAAGAGGAAAGUGGAAUUCCGCGUGUAGUGGUGAGAUGCGUAGAGAUGCGGAGGAACACCAGUGGCGAAAGCGACUUUCUGGUCCUUAACUGACGCUGAG